CGGUGUCAAGAUACGAAAUUCCAGAGACAAGAUAGAAGCUUUUAACAAUAUCCGAAUGCGAUUUUCCGAAGGCUAUCCCAGUGUCUUUUAUCCGUAUUUGCCAACCAAUACGACGCCGUGUGAUUUACGGAACUUCGUCGGGUUGCCGACCAAAAAUCAAUUCGUCACCCACUCGGCCGUCGAAGAUUUUUAUCGGAACAAGACCCAGUGCGUCAUCAACAAACGGGACGAUGGAACCAUAAUAAAGACAAUCGACUUCACCGCCCCCAUUAUCUUCGAGUUCACUUAGGCUGUGAUACACAAGACAAUGAAGACAAGAUUAAUUCCCUUUUAUUGGAAAUAACGAUGUUAGCAACAACAAUUCGGCGCUUAAUUUCAACUAACACUAGAAUAGUAAUCAAUUGUCAUGUACAAGAGAACACUAAUAAAAUAGACUUGCUUUAUCCGGU
Daphnia pulex (common water flea) is the source of this 449-nucleotide long non-coding RNA. RefSeq lists it as uncharacterized. The transcript has 2 exons. Lineage: Eukaryota; Metazoa; Arthropoda; Branchiopoda; Diplostraca; Daphniidae. The record is from RefSeq and is a predicted model, not a curated record.